RNAcentral lists this microRNA (22 nucleotides) under Monodelphis domestica (gray short-tailed opossum). Its description in RNAcentral is "mdo-miR-7261-5p". Lineage: Eukaryota; Metazoa; Chordata; Mammalia; Didelphimorphia; Didelphidae. The record is from miRBase by way of RNAcentral.
GUGGGAAGAAAGAAUCUUGGCA